AACGUAGGAGACGAACGUUAUCCGGAGUUACUGGGCGUAAAGGGCGUGUAGGCGGUAUGUUAAGUCUGGCGUGAAAGCUCUCGGCUAAACCGGGAGAGGUCGUUGGAUACUGACACACUAGAGGAUGGUAGAGGCGUGUGGAAUUCCGGGUGUAGUGGUGAAAUGCGUAGAUAUCAGGAGGAACACCGGUGGCGAAGGCGCACAUCUGGCCCAAUACUGACGCUGAGGCGCGAAAGCUAGGGGAGCAAACGGG
RNAcentral lists this ribosomal RNA (253 nucleotides) under uncultured bacterium. RNAcentral's name for it is "partial 16S ribosomal RNA". It matches the Rfam family "Bacterial small subunit ribosomal RNA", at positions 524 to 776 of the family's 1533-position model. The record is from RNAcentral.